UAUAUCCUGAGUUAAAUAUUUGUUAUAAGGUGCAAUCAUCUUUUAUCUCUUUUAGUAGACACUCAAUCAGAUUUGUUAGAAAUUUUUGUUGAUAUGAGACCAUAUUGCAGUCCUUCCGACUUUUAUUUUUGUAUUUGCCUUUCCAAUUGGGACUUGUUCAUAAUGAUUCUGUGUUUAUAAUGUUUUUAAUGUUGGCUCUCGUGCUUUUAUUGCUCUUAUUGGUCGGAAAUGAGACCAUAUAUCUCUUUCUUCCUUUUUCCUAAACGCUGUAGAGAUUAUGUUUUCUCCACAACAGCUCAUGAUGAAGACCUUGAAUUGUGUCUGUAGACCUUGUAUUGUGCC
This 342-nucleotide long non-coding RNA is filed under the name Citrus sinensis (sweet orange). RNAcentral's name for it is "long non-coding RNA (CSIN_LNC003052)". The record is from RNAcentral. Lineage: Eukaryota; Viridiplantae; Streptophyta; Magnoliopsida; Sapindales; Rutaceae.